Molecule: long non-coding RNA, 2770 nt
Organism: Manis pentadactyla (Chinese pangolin)
Lineage: Eukaryota; Metazoa; Chordata; Mammalia; Pholidota; Manidae
Exons: 3
Source: RefSeq, a predicted model, not a curated record
AGAAAAAAAUUACAAAUAUAUAAAAUCUUUUUUUUAUACAAUUGGUAUAACACAAAAUACCAUUAUAAGGAAAAUUAUAAAAUACAACUGCAAAAAGCAUGAAAUCAUCAUCCACAUUUAUAAUACCCAGAGAUAGCUAACUGUUAAAAUACUAGUAUAUAUCCUUCCAGACUUUUUCUUUGAGAAAUUUCAUCCCUGAAAUAUUUACUAGGUACCUACUAUAGGCCAAGCACUGUUUUUGGUGCUGGCGGAUGUCAAUGAAAUGAACAGAAGAGCAAAGUCACUGCUGCGUGCCGCUCUCAUUUGCUUAAGUUCUACUGGGAGAGGCACACAAAAGAAGGAAUAAUAAUAAAGCUGAUGGUGGUACAGGCUCUGGAGAAAAAGCAGGCAGAAGGAGGGAGAUGGAGAGUGCAGGGGGCAGUGGUGGUGGAAAACUCAACCAGGUGAAGUGUGUGUGAGCAGUGAGGGAAACCUAGGGGGAGUUUCCAGGCAGACGGAGCCACAGGGGCAAAGCCCUGGCAGGCCUGGAGUGUUCAGGGAAUGGUAAAGAAGCCCAAGUGACCAGAAAGCAGGAAGGAGUGGCAAGAGAUGAGUCAGUGAGGUAGCCUUGAGGCCACACUAUAAGGACUUUGGCUUCUGCUCUGAGAGGACCUAUUCAUUCAUUGAAAAUUUACUGAGCAUUCUCAUUUAGCAAAUGAGAGAAUGCACCAAGGAACACAAAUCUGUACUCUUAUGAAGCUUGCAUUUUAGAGGGAAAAGACCAUGAACUAGCAAAUGCAAAGGCAGAAGGUCAGAUGGUAGUAUGUGGUCUGGAGAAAAUUAGGGGAGGGACAUAGUGGGGACAAGUUCAGGUCUCAUUGAGAAAGUGAUAUUUGAGCAGGGACCUGAAAGGAGUGAAAAAAUGAAUAAUGUUCCACAGGGAAGAAGAGUCCAGGCACUGGACCAGAGUACACUGGUCCAGAGGUAGAAAAAUCUGGAGGAAUGGCAAGGAGGCCAAUGUGCCUGGAGUACAAUGAGUUGCAGAGGCAGCAGGGGCCUCUACAGCCAUGGUAAGGACUCUGGCCGGUAUUCUGAGUGAGCUGGGGAACCACUGGAAGAUUCUGAACAGAGCAGUGACCUGAUCAAGCUUAUAUUUUAAAAGACUCAGGCUGCUGUGUUGAGAACAGACUGACAUGGGGCACAGAAGCAGAAAGGUGAGUUAGAAGCUGUUCUAGUCAUCCAGGCCAGAGACAGAGGAGGCCUGAACCCAACUGACAGAGGAUGGAGGGUAAGGAGUGUUUGGAUUCUGGGUGUAUUCUGAAGGUAAAAGUGUUUUGGUGUACGGUGGGCUGUAGAGAAAGAGCAAGGUCAAGUGUGACUUUUGGCCUGAGUAACUGGGAGGACAGGCUUGGAGGGUAAAAUUAGGAAUCCUGUUUUGGAGUGUUAAUUUUGAGAUGCUUAGCCCAACACAGAUGGACUUGUUGAGUGACUGGCUGAAUAACCAAGUUAAGAAUUUAGGGAAGAGGCCGGCCUGGAGAUAGAAAUUUGGGAAUCCAGUAAUAGAUCGUUCAAACCACAAACUGACAAGCUCACCUAGAGAGCUCUGAGUGUGGAUAGAAAAGAUGUCCAAGAAGCUGGAUGCUGGUCCGUGGGCCCUCCAGCAUUCAGAGGCAGGGAGAUGAAGUGGGGGAGAGGCCAAUGAGGGGAGAAAAACCAAGACAGGGUGUUUCAGGAAGCCAAAAGAGUGUGUCAAGAAGGAACCAACUGUGCCCAGUAUUGCUGACGUGCCUAGAAAUGGGAUUGUAUUGUUUUGUAGCCACUUUUUUUCUUAUGCUACAUAUAAAUAUGAACAUCUUAAUAGAUAUAUUAGUAUAAAAUUUUAAUAGAUACAUGGUUGGGUUUUUAUUUGCCAUUAUAAGCAGCGCAGCAACCGUGUAGCCAUCUCUUUAAGCACAUCCCUAACAAUUUUCUUAGGAUUAAUUCCUACCCAUGGAAUUGCUUGAUCAAAAGUAUGCAUGACUUUAGGGCUUUUGUAUGUUACCAAAUUGCUUUUACUCAGCAACCAACAGUACAAUAGAGUGCCCACUUCUUUGCUGAAAUAGUGGCUAUGUAACUAAUUUUUUUUUUUGCCAAUUUUAUAGGUGGAAACUGAACUUAUAUUUGACUACUAAGUUUGAACAUAUUCUUAUCUUAAAUGAUUUAAACUGUCCUCUUUGGCCACAUCCCGACCUACUCGUAACCAAAGACAGCCUGAUUUGGAGUCCUUGAUCUGUGAUGAUGACAACCUUAACCCCUGAAAAACACAGCACUUACAACUUGUCAAGAAUCCGCAGAUGAUAAGAGAACAAAGAAAUGUGCUCUGUGAGGAAACUAAAGGCCUGCGCGUGCAGCAGAGAGCUGUAGCCAGUGCCAGUCAGUCGGGAGAUUGCUUUUUUUACGUACAGCUCAGCCAGCGGUGCCCCUGAGCACCCCUAUAUCUGCACUACCCUGUCUCCUUUGUGUAGACCUGGGCUCCCUCCUGCAUUUGUGAAUUCUAUUCAAAAUGCAUGUUUUUAGGAUGUAUAUGCCUAGUUAAAAUAUGUUUUUCAAACAUAUACUUUAAGCAAAACCACUCAGGAUGGUGUAGGCCUUGCCAUACUUUGUUACCUGGAAUGCUAUCCGGCGCUGGUCAUUUAAGUCAAUAAGGAAAGAUCUACUGACAUCAGGUUGCAUGGAAGAUAGUGCUGUAUGUAUUACGGAUAUAUACACACAAAGAAAAGAAAUAACUGUUCCCUAUGGAGUUUACUUUAGU